UACGUAGGUGGCAAGCGUUGUCCGGAAUUAUUGGGCGUAAAGCGCGCGCAGGCGGUCCUUUAAGUCUGAUGUGAAAGCCCACGGCUCAACCGUGGAGGGUCAUUGGAAACUGGGGACUUGAGUGCAGAAGAGGAAAGCGGAAUUCCACGUGUAGCGGUGAAAUGCGUAGAGAUGUGGAGGAACACCAGUGGCGAAGGCGGCUUUCUGGUCUGUAACUGACGCUGAGGCGCGAAAGCGUGGGGAGCAAACAGG
RNAcentral lists this ribosomal RNA (252 nucleotides) under uncultured bacterium. RNAcentral's name for it is "partial 16S ribosomal RNA". It matches the Rfam family "Bacterial small subunit ribosomal RNA", at positions 524 to 776 of the family's 1533-position model. The record is from RNAcentral.